This 72-nucleotide transfer RNA is filed under the name Ovis aries (sheep). It matches the Rfam family "tRNA". Rfam says of the family: Transfer RNA (tRNA) molecules are approximately 80 nucleotides in length. The record is from Rfam by way of RNAcentral. Lineage: Eukaryota; Metazoa; Chordata; Mammalia; Artiodactyla; Bovidae.
UCCCUAGAGACUUAGAUGGUAAAGAAUCUGCCUGCAAUGCAAGAGACCUGGGUUUGAUCCCUGGCUUGGGAA